CGCCGCAGGGAUGACGAAGGAAAACAAGAAGCCCCGGCCAGCGGAGCCUGACUGCGGCCCAGCUAGGCAGAGCUCCGGGAGGGGGAGCCUCACAGCCGUCGGAGCCAGGCCUGGUGCGAAUGACAGGGGGGCCGCUUAACCCGUUGUUUGCGGGUCGAGUCUGAGCAGUCUCACCUGUUAAUGGUGCGGAGACGCCCGCCUUCCGUCUGGGUCUAGAGAACCAGAUCGCGAUACAAAAGUUUAAAGAGGAACAAAAUGUCUCAACAACUUUUCGAAAGGAGAGAAUUAAGAGAGGGUCCAGACCUUCCAGUGUCAGCCUCAGCUGAGAGCCGAAGAUUCAAGAGGAGACAGCCUGUGACCAAUGAGGACGAGUGACAUGCUGUGGGUGGGCGUCUCAGAGGGAUCUGCAGGAAAGCUCUCUAGAAAACACCUCCCUCAUCCCCUCUGCUUACCCAGGGGGCUCGGCCAGCUUCUGCAGCCUCACCUUCUUUAUCCACCACCUGCCUGUGUGGCUGCUUCCAGCUGUGCGGACCGCAGGAGCAGGAGGAGCUCUGUUUGCCAAACCUGGCACGAGGUUCCCUGAAGAGCUAGACGACCCAUAAGACACACAGAUCCCACGCUAGCGCUGCUGAGUAUGCAGCUCAGACACAGGCCUUGAAAUCUCUUCUUGGUUUAUUUAUUCUGGCUUCAGGUUUAUUCCACACAGCAUGGUGCCUCCAAUGUGACUGUUGUAGCUGAUCCCAUCCACCCCCCAGCCGCCUCUCUGAUGGAAAUCAGUUGUGGACUCACCCCGCGUCAGUACACUGGGCAGAUGUCAUCUAGAGGCCCCCGUCCCUCAUUCUGUGAGUCCUCAGAGGGCGAUCCCAAGAGGCACGGGUAGGCAACCACAGGGUUACUGAAUGUCCUCAUUGGCAGUGCCCCACAGAAGUGUCUCUUCACAAACUGCUCCCCAGCAGCCUGGAGCACUGCAGGACUGCACAGCCUUCGUGGCAUGAACAUCGGGGUGCUCUUGCCACCAGCUCUCAGCCCUUAGAACCUUGACAUUCUUCUCAUCAGCAUUAUCCACAGCCAGGAGAAGAAAAGAUGAGGAUUGUUUUCAAAGGCUCUGGGCAGCAUCUGGAACAGAGUAUCCUGAAGAACCUCCAAACAGAAGGAGAUUUUGCAAUUAGGAGUACAAGGACACACCUGAUAAAGCCCGAAGCAGCUACAAAUCAUCUGCUGUGUGCCUCCUGAACUUGAUGCCACGUGGAACAUGAAGUUGCUUCCUGUAUGGCAGAUUCCACCUCCUUCAGAGAAGUGGAAAAUGACAGAGAUUUUUGUCCAGGACUCUGUGCUGCCACAGAAUGACAUAGGAACUGGUCUUGGUGGGAGCCUCUGGAGAAAAUAUUUCUCCCUAAUAAAAAGAGGCACAAGAGGAGAUGACUCUGGAAUUUGCUGGAUAUUGUAACUUUCGUGAGCAACAUCUGUGACCACCAACCACAUGACUGUCAUUGUCUGCUGGAUGGGGGACACAGAGAAAUCAGGCACGCUGCAGAAUACCACUGAGCCUCUGAGCCCACUGACCUUAAAGCUACCGCAACAGAUUCAUGACAGCCCAACAGCCAUUUUCCUUACCAUUUAACGCACUUUGAGUUUGACUUUCUGUUCCAUGUGCUAAAAAUUUUAAUUGAUUCAACUUAGAAACUAUGAGCCAGGCAUCAAACUAAGUACUUUCAAAUAAGUGAUCUCACUUAAUCUGUAAGACAAGGUCAUGGGAUAAUUAUUGCUAUGCUCAUUUUGGAGAUAAGGAAACUGAAACUCAGAGAGCUUGAUGACCUUCCCAACUUUAAGCAGAUAACAAGUGGGAAGAGUCAAACCAAAGAGAGUUUAACUCCAAAGUCCAUGCACUUUUAUUACACUGUGACAAGUUACUGGGGAGACUGUGGUAUAAAUGCAAAUUUAAUUAGAAGAUACAUUCACUUAAUUAAUUAUGAAGACAGCAACAUGCUGGCUAUUUUAUUAAGGUGACAGAGUUCAAAUAUAUGCAUAUAUAUGUUUGAUCACAGCAAUCUUAAAAAAUGCAGAUAAUCACGUCCUUUCAGUUACAUUUUUAAAACUAUAUCUUAAGGGCCCACUACAUGUGAGGCACAAAGUUAGGUUCUGUGAGGUACAAAAAGUAAGAUACAAGGAAGACAUAAUAAUCCUUGCCCACAGCACUGAGUUGGAGAAAUAAAUAUCCAAUGUGUGGCAGAUGCCUGCAGAGCAGUAGUGAAUCAGUUUUAAAGAGUGCUCUGUGUUCCUUUGUGUUCACGUUGUGUUAGAGCUCAGAAACACAUUUAUCUUAUCGACACCUGGGGCAGGAUGACGAACUUGGGACCCGGAGCUGUCUCCGCAUUUGGGAAGGAGGACAACUGAGCAGAAGAAGCGGGAGCCUGGAUGAAUUCACCAGGAUGGACCCCAGGUGCUGGCCAGCAUCAUUCUUGAUGGCACCGUGCACCCUCCCAGGGGGCCUUACCUGGGAGUUCUGGGGUGGACAGAAUGGGCACAGCAAGCUGUGCCAUCCAGGAGCUGGAUGGAAACUUUGUGAGGACGGCUGUUCUCUGUGAAGUGCAUAGGGAAGAACUCAGCAGGUGGUAACCCAAUUCUUCCCCAUAUAGCAGGUUGUUGGUGGAAAAUAACAAAACAAAUAAAUUUAAAAAGGAAAUUUUCAAACCAAACCAACCAGUUCCAAACAGUGAUGUGUAUCAGACCGCAGAAUACUCUCCCCGGAUGGAAGUUGUAAAAAUCCUCCCCACCUGAGUCAUUUAAAGUAGCCUGGUUAAAAUAAUUGGAAAACUGCUCCAGGGGACAAUCCAUUAGAGGCCAGGGUCUCAGAGAUGGAUUGAUGGGUCCCAUAGAGUUCUACUUCCCAGAGCAACACUUUCUGGGCAAUUUAGGUGUCUGUUGUUGCCUUCUUUAAAAAACAAGAAAUUAUUGGUUUUGUUUUCUUGUAGGCACUGUCAAGCACUAGCUGAGUAUUAAUACAAAAAGUGCUUUCAAGAGUGAAAAUAGAUCUCUUUAGGGUCAGAUUGGUGCAGUCUGCAAUGAUCUCUGUCACCUGCUCCUGGCCUUUCUUUUGGGAAAGGGCUCAGACCUCAGCCCACAGAGUAACCAUGCCAGCCCAGGUGGAGAACUCAUCACCAGCUAAGGCACAGGUCCGUCACUCCUUGGACACAGCUCUUCACACAGUUUGAAGAAAAGUGUGUGUAGUGGGGCGGGGAGCAGAUGGCUCUUUUCUAAGGCUCAGGUGCUUUGGAGCAACGCCCACUGUCGUCCUCCCAAAAACCAACUCCCAGUGCAUCCUUCUCAAGGAUAAGAUUCACAUCCAGGAGCAGGGCCAGGCAAGCAAUCUGGAGCCUCCUGGGGAAGCCCGUGGGGGUCUGUCCACCACCACAGAGUCCCUCCGACAGCCAGCCUGGCUGCUGAGAAUCUGAGCAGAAGCAAACAGGCAGGCCUGAGGAAAUGUCCCCCAAAGCGACUUGAGUUUUCACUGGAAGUGCUUUAGUUACUUGCUGUUCACAGACAUCUGACCCUUUCCAGCUUCCUGUUGUUCCCUCUUGUACUUUUGCCUUCCACUCAGCUCAGGCCCUGUGCCAAAUACUGCUAAAUACUGAGUGCAGAGAAGGUGCUGUGGUCUGAAGCCUGUAUCUUCCACAAAUGCAUAGGGUCAGGCAUCAGAAAGGAGUUCAUGUCCUUAUGACAGAAACCACAGGGCCAGCGAUUUAGCUCAGUGGUGCGGCUGCCUGCCUCACAAGCACAAGGUCCCAAGCUUGAUCCCUGGUACCCAAAGAAAGAACCCACAGAGAGUUUUGCUGCCCCUCCUAUGAAGUGAGAAAGCCAGGAAUAGGCGUGUGGGAGAGUAAUGAGGACUCAGCAGACACUGCUCCUGCCCGGCCCUUGACCAUGGACCACACAGCCUCAGAGCUAUGAGCGAUGUAUAGUCGCUUAUACGUCCCUCAGUGUCUGACAUGUUUGUUGUAGCAGCUGAUAGGGAGUGGGGUACACAGCCAAAGCACCUGCUCUGUACACAGGAAAUCUCCCUUCUACUGCUGUGCUUUCCAGGAGUUUUUCUGUUGGUUCAUGUAACAUUUGGCAGCUGAAUAGUCUGGGAGUGGUGAGGAGCUUCUGUCACAUCAAACUAUAAAAAAAUGCAGUUUUUUUUCCUAGCUAUAUAUUUCUCCUCCCCCGGGAAUUUU
Molecule: long non-coding RNA, 4214 nt
Organism: Fukomys damarensis (Damara mole-rat)
Lineage: Eukaryota; Metazoa; Chordata; Mammalia; Rodentia; Bathyergidae
Exons: 4
Source: RefSeq, a predicted model, not a curated record